UAAUACAUGCAAGUCGAACGCGUCUCCGUUAAUGAUUUUAGGUGCUUGCACUUGAAAGAUUUAACAUUGAGACGAGUGGCGAACUGGUGAGUAACACGUGGGUAACCUGCCCUUGAAGUAGGGGAUAACACUUGGAAACAGGUGCUAAUACCGUAUAACAACCAAAACCACCUGGUUUUGGUUUAAAAGACGGCUUCGGCUGUCACUUUAGGAUGGACCCGCGGCGUAUUAGCUUGUUGGUAAGGUAACGGCUUACCAAGGCGAUGAUACGUAGCCGACCUGAGAGGGUAAUCGGCCACAUUGGGACUGAGACACGGCCCAAACUCCUACGGGAGGCAGCAGUAGGGAAUCUUCCACAAUGGACGAAAGUCUGAUGGAGCAACGCCGCGUGAGUGAUGAAGGGUUUCGGCUCGUAAAACUCUGUUGUUGGAGAAGAACAGGUGUCAGAGUAACUGUUGACAUCUUGACGGUAUCCAACCAGAAAGCCACGGCUAACUACGUGCCAGCAGCCGCGGUAAUACGUAGGUGGCAAGCGUUGUCCGGAUUUAUUGGGCGUAAAGCGAGCGCAGGCGGUUUUUUAGGUCUGAUGUGAAAGCCUUCGGCUUAACCGGAGAAGUGCAUCGGAAACCGGGAGACUUGAGUGCAGAAGAGGACAGUGGAACUCCAUGUGUAGCGGUGAAAUGCGUAGAUAUAUGGAAGAACACCAGUGGCGAAGGCGGCUGUCUGGUCUGUAACUGACGCUGAGGCUCGAAAGCAUGGGUAGCGAACAGGAUUAGAUAC
RNAcentral lists this ribosomal RNA (780 nucleotides) under Lentilactobacillus buchneri. RNAcentral describes it as "bacterial SSU rRNA". It matches the Rfam family "Bacterial small subunit ribosomal RNA", at positions 49 to 785 of the family's 1533-position model. Lineage: Bacteria; Bacillati; Bacillota; Bacilli; Lactobacillales; Lactobacillaceae. The record is from RNAcentral.